GCACGAUUAGCUCAGGGGUAGAGCAUCGCCUUCACACGGCGGGGGUCGUUGGUUCAAAUCCAACAUCGUGUA
This 72-nucleotide transfer RNA is filed under the name Treponema sp. RNAcentral describes it as "tRNA-Val". It matches the Rfam family "tRNA". Rfam says of the family: Transfer RNA (tRNA) molecules are approximately 80 nucleotides in length. Lineage: Bacteria; Pseudomonadati; Spirochaetota; Spirochaetia; Treponematales; Treponemataceae. RNAcentral also lists the same sequence under 1 other name. The record is from RNAcentral.